AUUGCUUCUCAGCCUUUUGGCUAAGAUCAAGUGCAGUAUCUGUUCUAUGAUUCUUUCUAAAUUUCCCCUGUUAAAAGCAAGCAUUAGACAGCAUUAAAUGUGAAGUUCUUUCUGACUUUGUGGUUAUACAAAAAUUCCCAGUGGGAACAGGAAACACACAAACAGGCCUGUUCCCAAAAACUAAA
Molecule: small nuclear RNA, 185 nt
Organism: Pogoniulus pusillus (Red-fronted tinkerbird)
Lineage: Eukaryota; Metazoa; Chordata; Aves; Piciformes; Lybiidae
Product: U2 spliceosomal RNA
Exons: 1
Source: RefSeq, a predicted model, not a curated record